Molecule: ribosomal RNA, 427 nt
Filed under: uncultured bacterium
Lineage: Bacteria
Description: partial 16S ribosomal RNA
Rfam family: Bacterial small subunit ribosomal RNA
Source: RNAcentral
UGGGGAAUAUUGGACAAUGGGCGAAAGCCUGAUCCAGCCAUGCCGCGUGUGUGAAGAAGGUCUUCGGAUUGUAAAGCACUUUAAGUUGGGAGGAAGGGCAUUAACCUAAUACGUUAGUGUUUUGACGUUACCGACAGAAUAAGCACCGGCUAACUCUGUGCCAGCAGCCGCGGUAAUACAGAGGGUGCAAGCGUUAAUCGGAAUUACUGGGCGUAAAGCGCGCGUAGGUGGUUUGUUAAGUUGGAUGUGAAAUCCCCGUGCUCAACCUAGGAACUGCAUUCAAAACUGACUGACUAGAGUAUGGUAGAGGGUGGUGGAAUUUCCUGUGUAGCGGUGAAAUGCGUAGAUAUAGGAAGGAACACCAGUGGCGAAGGCGACCACCUGGACUAAUACUGACACUAAGGUGCGAAAGCGUGGGGAGCAAACA